Molecule: ribosomal RNA, 637 nt
Filed under: Aspergillus spinosus
Lineage: Eukaryota; Fungi; Ascomycota; Eurotiomycetes; Eurotiales; Aspergillaceae
Description: eukaryotic LSU rRNA
Rfam family: Eukaryotic large subunit ribosomal RNA
Source: RNAcentral
GGUUGACCUCGGAUCAGGUAGGGAUACCCGCUGAACUUAAGCAUAUCAAUAAGCGGAGGAAAAGAAACCAACAGGGAUUGCCUCAGUAACGGCGAGUGAAGCGGCAAGAGCUCAAAUUUGAAAGCUGGCCCCUUCGGGGUCCGCAUUGUAAUUUGCAGAGGAUGCUUCGGGUGCAGCCCCCGUCUAAGUUGCCCUGGAACGGGCCGUCAUAGAGGGUGAGAAUCCCGUCUGGGACGGGGUGUCUGCGUCCGUGUGAAGCUCCUUCGACGAGUCGAGUUGUUUGGGAAUGCAGCUCUAAAUGGGUGGUAAAUUUCAUCUAAAGCUAAAUACUGGCCGGAGACCGAUAGCGCACAAGUAGAGUGAUCGAAAGAUGAAAAGCACUUUGAAAAGAGAGUUAAACAGCACGUGAAAUUGUUGAAAGGGAAGCGUUUGCGACCAGACUCGCCCGCGGGGUUCAGCCGGCAUUCGUGCCGGUGUACUUCCCCGUGGGCGGGCCAGCGUCGGUUUGGGCGGCCGGUCAAAGGCCCUCGGAAUGUAUCACCCCUCGGGGUGUCUUAUAGCCGAGGGUGCAAUGCGGCCUGCCCGGACCGAGGAACGCGCUUCGGCUCGGACGCUGGCGUAAUGGUCGUAAAUGACC